This 905-nucleotide long non-coding RNA is filed under the name Bos taurus (domestic cattle). RNAcentral's name for it is "long non-coding RNA NONBTAT013931". Lineage: Eukaryota; Metazoa; Chordata; Mammalia; Artiodactyla; Bovidae. The record is from RNAcentral.
CGAAGGCGAAGGCGUCUAAGGCGGCCUUCUUUGCGCACCUCAACACCUACCCUUCGCGAGCGGUUGGCUAUAAAUCGUAGGGGACCGUCUUACCUCAGCAAAGCGUGCGUCUCCUGGAACCAGAGCUUCGAGUGAGGACCGUUCUGGGGAAAUUGGGACGGUUUUACUUCUCCCUCAACAUUUGUCAGAGACCACGAAAGAGGCCUCUCUGCAGGCGCCUUUAGUUUCCUCAGAUUAUAACCUUCCCAACUGCCCGCAGCGUCCAGUCUCCCCUCUCCAGCAAAAUGGUGCUGGCUAACUCAGAUGUCUGCGAGAUUAGUUGUGUUGUUAACUUGGCUUUCUGGUAAAUUCGUGGAUAGUAGACUCGAAAAGAUUUUUUUCUAAGCAUUUAGGUAUCAAUAUAUUCAUUAAAAAACCCGACUUUGCUGCCAAUUCAUCAGUUCUUAGCUGUCCUUGAGAGACUGACAUGCCACAAUUCACACUUCCGUAUUUCUUAUUAAUCAUAAGUGAAAAUAUCUUUUUAAAGUCAGGGUACACUGAUUUAUUAUGUUAGUAACUGAUUAGCAUUUCUGUUAAAGUUUUGGAAGAAUAUUUAAAUAGCUUCUUCAGCAUCUAACUUUUUUUUAAUAAGAGAAAGUGAGCUCUACUUCUAGAAUUUGAUCUGGAUUAGAACUCCUGUCUCUUUUGUCUAUCUUUGUGUCCUUAUACAGAGAAAAUGGCAGAAUUACUAGUGUCUUCUAAAUACCUAGCCAUUAAUCCCACUAGUCCAUCCCGUUUUCAUUCAAGAAAUAUAAAAAAUGCCGAAUAAAGACUAUUAGUUGCCCAGUUCCACAGAUAAAUUGGAAUGAAUCCAGGUACGGUGGAACAAAUCCAAAUACAAUAACUGGAAUGGAAGUUACUUACUU